GUCUUUUCAUGUACAAUGAGAACGCCAUGGAAGAGCUGGAGAGGUUGGAUUUGGCAUUUGAGGCAUUGAAGAAAGAGCUAUUUGGACACUUACACGAGGUUUUAAGGAAGCAGUUGUUUGGAAAGGCAGAGGAAGGAGGCUUUCAAAGGCCAAAGUUGGCUAAGCUACCCAAGAACGGGACACCAUUGUUGCCAUCACAAUUUGAGGCUUACAACACCCAGAAAAACAACAAGGAUGUCUACUUUCUGUAGAUUAGGCUUGCUUCUUCCCCUCCUCGGUGCCGAAUAGAUUUCACACUUAGCGAAUUUCAGAAAGUUAGGGCACAACUCAUUCUUCGACGCGAUUUCUCAAUCAGCAGACGCGACGUACUGGGUGAAGGUGGGAUCGAGGAGGUUAAUCGGCACCGGCGUCCAGGGAAAGAUAACAACGCGCACAGCCACGGGGCUGACAGCUGAGAUGCACCCAGCCUGGCUCGCUGUCGUCUGCAGGUAUUUCGUCACAAUGCCAAU
Molecule: long non-coding RNA, 509 nt
Organism: Andrographis paniculata
Lineage: Eukaryota; Viridiplantae; Streptophyta; Magnoliopsida; Lamiales; Acanthaceae
Exons: 3
Source: RefSeq, a predicted model, not a curated record